MicroRNA precursor from Oryza sativa Indica Group (long-grained rice), 203 nucleotides. It matches the Rfam family "MIR812 microRNA precursor family". The record is from Rfam. Lineage: Eukaryota; Viridiplantae; Streptophyta; Magnoliopsida; Poales; Poaceae.
UUUAAGUGCAACUAUGACUUUCCGUUCCAACUUUAAUCGUCCGUCUUAUUUAAAAUUUUUUUUAUAAUUAAUAUUUUUUUGUUGUUAUGAGAUGAUAAAAUAUGAAUAGUACUUUACUCGUGACUUAUGUUUUUAAUUUUUUUUAAAAAAUAUUUAAAUAAAAUAGAUAAUCAAAACUAGGAAAACAAAUAGCUGCACUUAAA